Molecule: long non-coding RNA, 734 nt
Filed under: Homo sapiens (human)
Lineage: Eukaryota; Metazoa; Chordata; Mammalia; Primates; Hominidae
Description: HSALNT0383272
Source: RNAcentral
UGCUUUUUAGAGGCCUCUGCUCUGCCAGCCUGGGAGUCAUCUUCACCCUCAGGCUGGUAGACUCCAGUCUCUUAGGUCAGAAUGGGAUUAGAGACCCGUUCCUGAACCAGUCACACACAGCGGGUGAAACUGCUAUGAUUGGUUUAGACUUAGAGACUGGAAUGGAUGCUGAAAACAUCGCCCAUUUCAUCUGUUUCUUCAGUCCCCAGAUAGCAGAUGACUGGUAGGAAGAUGAGGCAAGUUUGCGGUCCAUUGUCAUGGAUAGUGGAGACAACACUGGGCCAGAAGUGGUAAGACCUGAAUCCAAGACUCAGCUCUGCCACUUGCUAAAUGGGACUUUGAAUAAACCAUUUCUCUGCACUUAAGUUCCUUACCAACAAAACGAGGGAAGUGGCCUACAUGCCUAGAUAUCAACAUUUCAUGUCACGUAGAGAUCUAGCAUCACAAGAAUCCAAGUCAUCCUCUGUUGCCUUUAAGAUUUCAGCAUGGUGAAGGAAAAGUAGCAGAAGACUGAAUGCAUACUCAGUUUUCAAGCUCUGGAUUUAAUCUUUCCAUAGCUGGAAUUGCCUCCUCCUCAAAAGCCUUAUUUGUUCAUUUAAUUGGGGCAACAUGAAAUAAUGAUGUAUCAUUGACAGAGAACAGGGGGCUUAGGUUCUCAUCUUGGUCCUAGUGAUUACUCUAUGCAUAACCUCAACUUCUUUAUCUGUACAUUGGGAACAAUAAUUCUUACUCCA